This 274-nucleotide ribosomal RNA is filed under the name uncultured bacterium. RNAcentral describes it as "partial 16S ribosomal RNA". It matches the Rfam family "Bacterial small subunit ribosomal RNA", at positions 524 to 795 of the family's 1533-position model. The record is from RNAcentral.
UACGUAGGGUGCAAGCGUUAAUCGGAAUACUGGGCGUAAAGCGUGCGCAGGCGGUGAUGUAAGACAGUUGUGAAAUCCCCGGGCUCAACCUGGGAACUGCAUCUGUGACUGCAUCGCUGGAGUGCGGCAGAGGGGGAUGGAAUUCCGCGUGUAGCAGUGAAAUGCGUAGAUAUGCGGAGGAACACCGAUGGCGAAGGCAAUCCCCUGGGCCUGCACUGACGCUCAUGCACGAAAGCGUGGGGAGCAAACAGGAUUGAGAAACCCCAGUAACGUC